GACGAACGCUGGCGGCGUGCUUAACACAUGCAAGUCGAACGGAAAGGCCCUGCUUUUGUGGGGUGCUCGAGUGGCGAACGGGUGAGUAACACGUGAGUAACCUGCCCUUGACUUUGGGAUAACUUCAGGAAACUGGGGCUAAUACCGGAUAGGAGCUCCUGCUGCAUGGUGGGGGUUGGAAAGUUUCGGCGGUUGGGGAUGGACUCGCGGCUUAUCAGCUUGUUGGUGGGGUAGUGGCUUACCAAGGCUUUGACGGGUAGCCGGCCUGAGAGGGUGACCGGCCACAUUGGGACUGAGAUACGGCCCAGACGCCUACGGGAGGCAGCAGUGGGGAAUAUUGCACAAUGGGCGGAAGCCUGAUGCAGCAACGCCGCGUGCGGGAUGACGGCCUUCGGGUUGUAAACCGCUUUCGCCUGUGACGAAGCGUGAGUGACGGUAAUGGGUAAAGAAGCACCAGCUAACUACG
This 466-nucleotide ribosomal RNA is filed under the name uncultured bacterium. RNAcentral describes it as "partial 16S ribosomal RNA". It matches the Rfam family "Bacterial small subunit ribosomal RNA", at positions 28 to 505 of the family's 1533-position model. The record is from RNAcentral.